Molecule: ribosomal RNA, 911 nt
Filed under: uncultured archaeon 19b-30
Lineage: Archaea
Description: bacterial SSU rRNA
Rfam family: Archaeal small subunit ribosomal RNA
Source: RNAcentral
CCGGUUGAUCCUGCCGGAGGCUACUGCUAUCGGGAUUCGAUUAAGCCAUGCGAGUCGAGGGAAUUAGAUUCCCGGCUGACGGCUCAGUAACACGUGGACAACCUGCCCUCAGAUGGGGGAUAAUCUCGGGAAACUGAGGAUAAUACCCCAUAGGCAUCCUUUGCUGGAACGCUUGGAUGCUCAAAGCGUUAGCGUCUGAGGAUGGGUCUGCGGCCUAUCAGGUAGUAGUGGGUGUAACGGACCCACUAGCCAGUGACGGGUACGGGCCUUGAAAGAGGUAGCCCGGAGAUGGACUCUGAGACACGAGUCCAGGCCCUACGGGGCGCAGCAGGCGCGAAAACUUCGCAAUGCGGGAAACCGUGACGAGGGAAUCCCGAGUGCUCAUGCAAUGCAUGGGCUUUUCUGACGUGUAAAAAGCAUCAGGAAUAAGGGCUGGGUAAGACCGGUGCCAGCCGCCGCGGUAAUACCGGCAGCUCGAGUGGUAGCCGCUUUUAUUGGGCCUAAAGCGUCCGUAGCCGGUCAGGUAAAUCCUUGGGUAAAUCGUACAGCUUAACUGUUCGGCUUCCGAGGAGACUGCCUGACUUGGGACCGGGAGAGGUUGGAGGUACUCCUGGGGUAGGGGUGAAAUCCUGUAAUCCCAGGUGGACGACCGGUGGCGAAGGCGUCCAACCAGAACGGCUCCGACGGUGAGGGACGAAGGCCAGGGGCGCAAACCGGAUUAGAUACCCGGGUAGUCCUGGCUGUAAACGCUGCAGACUUGGUGUUGGAUAUCCUACGAGGGUGUCCAGUGCCGAAGAGAAGUUGUUAAGUUUGCCGCCUGGGGAGUAUGGCCGCAAGGCUGAAACUUAAAGGAAUUGGCGGGGGAGCACCGCAACGGGAGGAGCGUGCGGUUUAAUUGGAUUCAACGCCGG